CCUCUGCGUGCCACUGCCUCCACACCUUCUUCACUGUGGUCACACCUCUAGUGCCCUAGCAGUGAUCUGGGAGUGCUUGACCUUGCUUGGACCAGUCGGUGGAGAUUUCUUUUCCCUGUGUUGCUGCUGUGCCCUAGUGCACCAUUACCGGUGCCACUCUCUUCUUUACAGCAGAGUGGUGAUUUUAGAGUGAAGUGUCCGACUUGUAAAGUGUGCUUUAGUUUGUUCAAGACUUCCAGCAGCAACCCCAUCCAGUAGCCCUUGCUUCAGCAGCAACAGCAACGGUGGUUGAGGAUUUUGACACGAGACGAGUAUCUCGGAGUCGGAUUGGACUUUUCUUAUCGGAGGCGGG
This is a long non-coding RNA of Zingiber officinale, 352 nucleotides long. RefSeq lists it as uncharacterized. The transcript is spliced from 3 exons. The record is from RefSeq and is a predicted model, not a curated record. NCBI's taxonomy places the organism in Eukaryota, Viridiplantae, Streptophyta, Magnoliopsida, Zingiberales, Zingiberaceae.